GAAGGCUGAGCGCGGGCUCUCAAGGAAAGUAGUCGCGGAAUCUCAGUUAGCGGUGGAGAGGCUGUAUGUCCGGUUCAAUGGCGACUGCGGAAGCUAGCGGCAGCGAUGGGAAAGGGCAGGAAGUCGAGACCUCAGUCACCUAUUACCGGAUGGAGGAGGUGGCAAAGCGCAACUCCUUGAAGGAACUGUGGCUUGUGAUUCAUGGGCGAGUCUACGAUGUCACCCGCUUCCUCAACGAGCACCCUGGAGGAGAAGAGGUUCUGCUGGAACAAGCUGGUGUAGAUGCAAGUGAAAGCUUUGAAGAUGUAGGACACUCUUCUGAUGCCAGAGAAAUGCUAAAGCAGUACUAUAUUGGUGAUAUCCAUCCGAGUGACCUUAAACCUGAAAAUGGUAGCAAGGUAAGAAGUCAUCGGUUUGUCUUGUGUUUAUAUUUCUGUUUACUCAAGUAGAACUGCUUUUUGAAACAUUUUUUCUUAACAAGAAAAGUUACAAAGUAUUUACUUUUUCCCCAAGCAAAAAUCUUAUUUUUCAGGAAUUUGGACUCAGUAUCAUCUCAGGAAAUAAAGAAUAGCUGAGUCUUGAACAGUAGGAAACAUUUUGCUAAUGCUUCUAUACACUUUUUUUUUUUUUUUUAACUGAAACUCCAAAGCUAUGCCCUGUGUGGUUUUGAAAGAAAUUAGUUUAUGGGUUCAGUUGUAGAAAAAUACUUUGCUUUUACAUUAUGUAGAACAAGUGAUAAUCAUUGUUUCUGUGUUGGAAAAAAAUAAUUGCAAAGUUGUUUUGUUUCUUAUAGGUUAUCUUCUUUAUCUGUAAUACAGAGGCCUUUCUGUACUUAUUUUCCAAAUUUAAUUCUUUUAUCCUGUAGGCUCAAAUAGGCCCACACCCUUCCCGGUUACUUAGUAAUACAGCAGAAACAAAAGACUAAGUAUUUGAGUGUUUGAAAACUUUAAUGUGUACUGCAUUGCAUACCAGGAAGAAAAUAUGGAACCAUUUUCUGCCUCCCACAUGCUAGGUGGUUAAUUUCCCUUAUUCCCUAACAAUUUUCCUUAAUUUCUGUCCUUCAGAUAGCUGUUACACAAAACUCUAAUUUAAAGGGACAGCAGUUUAGGUGCCACCUAGAACAUAGGAAAGUGAUGCUGCCUCCCUUCCAUUUUCUUCCUCCUUGCUGCUUGCUUCCCAUUCCUCAUUGAGCCGGAAUUACUGAAUAGGUUUGACACAGCAAUUAAAGUUGGCCUAGACACAAGAAUUCUGUUAACUCAAGAGAUUGCUUGCUUAACAGUGUCUGCCAUCUAUUGCCCUGCAAUCCAGAGUGUUUGUGUAAAUUAACUCUUCCAUCUUGCUAGACUGCUACUCUGAACUAUUGAAUUGUUUCUGAAAGGGGAAUGAAAUGGUUCUUAAAACAUUUUGUAACAACUGUUGGUUGUUUGUCCUCUCCUCCUAACACAUGUACUAUCCAUUCUUGAAUCCUUAAAAAAAAAAUUAAAUAGUUCAAAACAGUAUUCUGUAAAAAGUUUUCCUCCUGUCUCCAGCUCUCAGUGUCUUAGUUCCCCUUCCCUGGAGGUAACCAGCCAUCAUUUUUUGUUGUUGCUUACUCUUAAUAACUUGUGUUAUUACGGUAAAAUUUGAACUAAGCGUGGCCUUGAUUUGUAUAUUGAACAUGUCCAGAAAAUACCACUCUCAGAGGUCAACAUCUGAUUCAAGGGAUAUAGGAGCCAUAACACAUUUCUGCACAGCAACUAUGAGAGCAUCUUUUAUAUUAAAACAAUAGAAAAAAUAUGUUUGCAAUUACAAUGUCUACAAGUCUACAGAUUGCUUCUUUUUGCUGUUCUUUCUUGGUAGUACAGUUAGGACCAUUCUUAGGAAUGUAGAACAAUGUUCCCCAAAUUCUGUUCUUGUAUCACCUCAAUUGGAAUCCCUUGGUAUGUACAUGAAUAUAUAUAGGAAAUGUGUAUUUCUUGGGUUUCUACUGCUUUGGAAUCUCUGGAGAUAGGGUUUAGGAAUUUGCAAUUUAAGUAAUCUAGGUGAUAAGUAGGUAGCUAAGCCCAAACUUUUUGCUGAAUGAUACGCCCAUCUUUUCAUUUGAAAACUUAGGAAAAUUUAAUUCUCUUCUGUGGUAAGCAUUGUCUGCCUUCUAUAGGCCAAAGAAUUAGAGAUUUCUCAGCUGAAUUCAAACUAUUGAGCCAUCCAGGUGCAGUGGCUCACGCCUGUAAUCCCUACACUUUGGGAGGCUGAGAUGGGAGGAUCGCUUGAGCCCAGCAGUUGGAGACCAGCCUGGGCAACAUGGUGAGACCCUGUCUCUAUUUUUAAAAAAUCAUAAAAUUAGCUGAGCAUGGUAAUGUGUGCCUGCAGUCCCAACUACUGGGGAGGCCGAGGCUGGAGGAUAGCUUGAGCCCGGGAGUUUGAGGCUGCAGUGAGCCAUGAUAACACCAUCGCACUUCCAUCUGGGUAACAGCAUGACCCCAUCUCAAAAAAAAAAAAAAAAAAA
Molecule: small RNA, 2485 nt
Filed under: Pongo abelii (Sumatran orangutan)
Lineage: Eukaryota; Metazoa; Chordata; Mammalia; Primates; Hominidae
Description: retained intron
Source: RNAcentral